GAUGAAGAACGCAGCGAAAUGCGAUAAGUAAUGUGAAUUGCAGAAUUCAGUGAAUCAUCGAAUCUUUGAACGCACAUUGCGCCCGCCAGUAUUCUGGCGGGCAUGCCUGUUCGAGCGUCAUUUCAACCAUCAAGCCCUGCUUGCGUUGGGGUCCUGCGGCUGCUCGCAGGCCCUGAAAACCAGUGGCGGGCUCGCUAGUCACACCGAGCGCAGUAAUACAUCUCGCUUUGGGCGUGCGGCGGGUUCUUGCCGUUAAACACCCCCUUUUUACCAAGGUUGACCUCGGAUCAGGUAGGAAUACCCGCUGAACUUAAGCAUAUCAAUAAGCGGAGGA
This 334-nucleotide unclassified non-coding RNA is filed under the name soil metagenome. Its description in RNAcentral is "partial contains 5.8S ribosomal RNA, internal transcribed spacer 2, and large subunit ribosomal RNA". The stretch from base 1 to 120 matches the Rfam family "5.8S ribosomal RNA", at positions 35 to 154 of the family's 154-position model. The record is from RNAcentral.